ACACACACACACACUCGCUCUAUUUUCCCUAAUUUUCUGACUUGUUCUGCUGGUCUUGUUUGUUUUUCCAGAUAAAGUUUGGAAUCGUUUCAUCAUUUCGCCUAAAAGCCAAACGACCCCGGUGGCCUUCUGACGUGCCGGCCGUGCUGUCAGCGCAGGACGGUCCUGUGGUUCGUCGUCUUCCCUUCAUCCCAGAUGUUUGGGAAGCACCUACCGCCAACCCGUGAAUGACUCUGGGGACGCGAGAGGGACGAGACGAUCGCUGCCCUGCUCUUCUGGACCUGAGCCCCUUCCGCGAUGCCCGGCCUGGGCUCCUCCAGUACCACUGGUCCGCAGCAGGAAAGAAAGUUAUCCGUGGUGGAGGCCCCACCUGGGAGGCCGAGGCAGCCUCCCAGCCCAGGGAGCAUCUUCACAGUGACGGCCGACGGGCCCACAGAGUGGAGGGGAUUAGAAGUUUCAAAACAGCCCAGCAAGAGGCAGGACUGAGCCGAGGAGAGACUGAAAACUGGCGGAGUCCGGAAACAGAUACGCGAAGUUUCCUUAUCUUUGGGCUGCAGAUGUCCGGAUAGGAAACUCCGGCAGGAGAUCCGAAAGGGCAUUUUUUUUAAAUCACUCAAAUGAAAAUACACAGUAUAGGUGACUCCAUGGAAAAAUAAUAAAGGGCAGGUUUUUUUUUGGUGGUUGGUGUGUGUGUUUUAUUUAAAUAAGCGUGAGGAGACUGUGUGGGGAAGCCAGGGAGAGCAGCCCGGGCUACAAGGAAAAUUACUUCACGGCCCUAUUUUUAAAAGGAGUUUAACAGAGGCCAGGGGACCGGACUUGGGCCCCUGGAUGCUCAACUUCGGGGGAUCCCUGAAGGUACCAGGUGGGCUGCAGAGGGGAAGUCUGGCCUGACAAAAAUCUAGCCUAAAAGCAGGGCAAUCCCAACUGACACCCAAGUGAUUUUAAUGAUAAGAGUACAAGCGACAGAGCACCUGUAUUUGAAGGUUGGUUUGUUUUCUGUAGUUAACUGUCAGCUCCCGCCCAGGUCGAUGCCCCCCGGG
This is a long non-coding RNA of Physeter macrocephalus (sperm whale), 1040 nucleotides long. RefSeq lists it as uncharacterized. The record is from RefSeq and is a predicted model, not a curated record. Lineage: Eukaryota; Metazoa; Chordata; Mammalia; Artiodactyla; Physeteridae. The transcript has 4 exons.